UACGGAGGGAGCUAGCGUUGUUCGGAAUUACUGGGCGUAAAGCGCGCGUAGGCGGCUUUGUAAGUUAGAGGUGAAAGCCCGGGGCUCAACCCCGGAAUUGCCUUUAAGACUGCAUCGCUUGAAUCCGGGAGAGGUGAGUGGAAUUCCGAGUGUAGAGGUGGAAUUCGUAGAUAUUCGGAAGAACACCAGUGGCGAAGGCGGCUCACUGGACCGGCAUUGACGCUGAGGUGCGAAAGCGUGGGGAGCAAACAGG
This 253-nucleotide ribosomal RNA is filed under the name uncultured bacterium. Its description in RNAcentral is "partial 16S ribosomal RNA". It matches the Rfam family "Bacterial small subunit ribosomal RNA", at positions 524 to 776 of the family's 1533-position model. The record is from RNAcentral.